Molecule: ribosomal RNA, 486 nt
Filed under: uncultured bacterium
Lineage: Bacteria
Description: partial 16S ribosomal RNA
Source: RNAcentral
GUAGUUAGCCGGGGCUUCCUCCUUGGCUACCGUCACUUUCUUCGUCACCAAGGACAGAGGUUUACAAUCCGAAGACCUUCUUCCCUCACGCGGCGUUGCUGGGUCAGGCUUGCGCCCAUUGCCCAAUAUUCCCCACUGCUGCCUCCCGUAGGAGUCUGGACCGUGUCUCAGUUCCAGUGUGGCCGAUCAGCCUCUCAGCUCGGCUACCCAUCGUUGGCUAGGUGGGCCGUUACCCCGCCUACUACCUAAUGGGACGCGAACCCCUCCUUCUGCGGAUUGCUCCUUUGACCCCUGAGCCAUGCGACUCUGUGGUCUUAUGCGGUAUUAGCACUUGUUUCCAGGUGUUAUCCCCCUCAAAAGGGCAGGUUGUUCACGCGUUACUCACCCGUUCGCCACUAGCUAUAAAUCCGAAAACCUAUAGCCCGUUCGACUUGCAUGUGUUAGGCACGCCGCCAGCGUUCGUCCUGAGCCAUAAUCAAACUCUGA